Molecule: long non-coding RNA, 661 nt
Organism: Amphiprion ocellaris (clown anemonefish)
Lineage: Eukaryota; Metazoa; Chordata; Actinopteri; Pomacentridae
Exons: 2
Source: RefSeq, a predicted model, not a curated record
UUCCCAGAGACUAUGGGUUGAGGAGGAAUUGGAAGUUUGUCGGCUUAGACCUGGUGUCAUUCCAUCAGUGUUAAACUUCCCGGCUCAUCUUGGAAGAGUACGUACCAGAAAGACCACGACCAAGCAGCCUUGAGAUCUUAGGCAGCGUCUCCCUGAGGUCCCUCUCUAUCUCCCCACACAUCCACCAACCACUGGAACACAUCUCCAAAGUUCUGCUGGGCCAGCUCAGCUUCCCCUCAGAAGAAGUGCUGCCACCUGCCAGAUGAAGGAGCCUUUUGAGAGGCAGCUGGCAUCGUGAUUGGACUGUACUUUGGUCUGUUCCAAUCCAGCUUCAGCUCCAGAGACGGCAGGCGGGAUGAGUCAACGGAGGCCGGGUGGACGAAGGCAUGCAGCUGAGUACAAUCCAGAAAACAACAGAGGAGGAGUGCAUCAGCCCAGGGCCAGAACAAGCAGAGUAGCAUCGUAUGUCUCUUAGAAAACAUCAUAGUAUAGCCUUUGGGAUGAAAAAACACCAUCAUAUACAUCGUAUAUUGUACAAAUAACAAGUCAAAGGAAAGAGACAUACAUUGUAGAAUUGUAGUAAUUGUGGGCUGACUGAUUUACUGAUUAUCAGUAUUUUAUUUUUUACUGAUUUACGGUAAUAAAUACAUUUAAAAAUGGU